CCCGCUGAACUUAAGCAUAUCAAUAAGCGGAGGAAAAGAAACUAACAAGGAUUCCCCUAGUAACGGCGAGUGAAGCGGGAAGAGCUCAAAUUUGAAAUCUGGUGGCCUCAGGCUAUCCGAGUUGUAAUCUAUAGAAACAUUUUCCGCGUUGGCCCAUGUACAAGUCUCUUGGAAUAGAGCGUCAUAGAGGGUGAGAAUCCCGUCCUUGACAUGGACUACCAGUGCUUUGUGAUAUGUUUUCAACGAGUCGAGUUGUUUGGGAAUGCAGCUCAAAAUGGGUGGUAAAUUCCAUCUAAAGCUAAAUAUUGGCGAGAGACCGAUAGCGAACAAGUACCGUGAGGGAAAGAUGAAAAGCACUUUGGAAAGAGAGUUAAACAGUAUGUGAAAUUGUUGAAAGGGAAACGAUUGAAGUCAGUCGUGUCUAUUGGACUCAGCCGGUUCUGCCGGUGUACUUCCUUUAGAUGGGGUCAACAUCAGUUUUGACUGGCAGACAAAGGCCAGAGAAAUGUGGCAGCUUUUGCUGUGUUAUAGUCUCUGGUUGUAUGUGUCAGUUGGGAUUGAGGAAUCCGGUAUGCAAGUACCUGGGAUGUUGGCGUAAUGGCUUUAAACGACCCGUCUUGAAACACGG
This 628-nucleotide ribosomal RNA is filed under the name uncultured fungus. Its description in RNAcentral is "eukaryotic LSU rRNA". It matches the Rfam family "Eukaryotic large subunit ribosomal RNA", at positions 24 to 664 of the family's 3401-position model. Lineage: Eukaryota; Fungi. The record is from RNAcentral.